GGACUGAAAGCCACAAGGGGGUCUGAGGAGCAGGCUUAGGAAAGGGCUGCUGAGACCCAGUGCCCGCUGUGGCCUCAGGGCCGUCCCAGAAAUGGGCGGCUGGUUCCCAAGAGCAGAGCCAUGGGGACCCUGGAGACCGACCCACUCCUGUCACUGUUCAUUUAGGGGAGACAGUGUUGGUUGAGAGCGAUUUACGGGACAGGGCAGGUCUGAGGCGGGGGACUUCACGGGGUGACCUCUGGGGGCCAUUCUGGGGGUGCCAGGUCUCAAGGUGUAGGGCCUCUGGCCGCACUGCGGCGCGGGUGACAGAAGGAAACCGGGACUGGCGGGAAUCUGCGUCCAUGUGGCCCAAGUCCUAACUCACUUGUUUCCAUCUCCUGGUGCCCUUGGUCCUACAAUGACUGAGUCAGCCCUGGCUGCCUGGGGACCGUCAGAGGAGAGGGCAUCACCUGGGAGCAUCUGGAUGUUGUUCGAGGCCUCAAACGGGGCGCCGUCCUUCAUCCAGAUCCCCAUUUCUCCUGCCGGGACAGUCCGUGCCAACUACCCUCGGGGGACGGACGGACACCUGGGGGCCCUGUCACCUCUCCAAGCCUCAGCGCUUCGUUGGUGACACAGAGGGACAAGCACAUCUCCCACCCCAUAGGCUUGUCCAACCAAUCAGGCCUGUGCAAACGCCCAGCCCGUGACAAACGUUCAGCCAAUACAGCUAUGACUAUUUUUGUUGUUGUUGAACCUGAAGAAAUGGGGAAGAAAAACAUAGCAGAGUGCUUUGGGGGAAGCUGUCUGUUCGGAGCUGGCCACCUUGGCUCCCCCUCCUUUCGGCGCCCAGGGAGGCCCGGAGAUGCCCAGCACUUACCCAGGACGCUAAGUUGGAAGUGUUUGGUCUUCUCCCCUACGGCACUGGCUGCAAUGCAGGAGUAGUGGCCAGAACUAGACAGGUCGGCCUGGACGAUCUGCAGGAGAGCUCCGUCUGGAGAAAUGCGAAUUUUCUAGAUGUCUACAAGGCUGCGGUAUUUAAUUGCAUCGCUGCAGGACAAGUCUCUGGAGACAGGCUCCCGUUAUGUGCAGGAACCUCACAGAGGGGGGCCAAGACGACGCCUCGCGGGGCUCACGGACUCAUGGAGAAGCAGACAUUGAAGAACGAGGGUGGUGACAUGACAGGACAGCCUGGCGGGGUGCCCUUCGGUCACGGUCAGGAUGCGGGGUUCCCUCGAGGGGAACACAGGAGGCACUGGGGGAGAACAGAGAGGCGUAUGAGGUGACAGACCGGAGGCCGGUGUGGUCGAGACACUGCCUGAGGCGGCCCAGCCAGGAGGAGGUGGAACUGAGAUUUACAUCCAGGCUGCGGUCCCCACAGUCCCCGGCCCUCAUCGACCCUCCCCUUGUUGGGCCAGAGGCCCGACGAAGGGCUCCCAUCCCCCAAGGCCAGGAGGCUUUGGAAGAAGGAGUAAAAAACAGGUGAAAAGCGAGAGGCUCGGCUUUGUGGGGACCGAGCGAGGCCCCUGCAGCAGCUUCUGACCAGGUCAGGAGGAUGUGCCCCGGGUGCUGGGUCACGCUGAGCUGAACUGAUCUCGUACGGCCCCCCCCAGGCCCUGCCCUGCACACCUCC
This is a long non-coding RNA of Felis catus (domestic cat), 1609 nucleotides long. RefSeq lists it as uncharacterized. The transcript has 7 exons. NCBI's taxonomy places the organism in Eukaryota, Metazoa, Chordata, Mammalia, Carnivora, Felidae. The record is from RefSeq and is a predicted model, not a curated record.